AUUGAACGCUGGCGGCAUGCCCUACACAUGCAAGUCGAACGGUAACAGGUUAAGCUGACGAGUGGCGAACGGGUGAGUAAUAUAUCGGAACGUGCCCAGUCGUGGGGAUAACUGCUCGAAAGAGCAGCUAAUACCGCAUACGACCUGAGGGUGAAAGCGGGGGAUCGCAAGACCUCGCGCGAUUGGAGCGGCCGAUAUCAGAUUAGCUAGUUGGUGGGGUAAAAGCCUACCAAGGCAACGAUCUGUAGCUGGUCUGAGAGGACGACCAGCCACACUGGGACUGAGACACGGCCCAGACUCCUACGGGAGGCAGCAGUGGGGAAUUUUGGACAAUGGACGAAAGUCUGAUCCAGCCAUGCCGCGUGCGGGAAGAAGGCCUUCGGGUUGUAAACCGCUUUUGUCAGGGAAGAAAAGGUUCUGGUUAAUACCUGGGACUCAUGACGGUACCUGAAGAAUAAGCACCGGCUAACUACGUGCCAGCCGCCGCAGUAA
RNAcentral lists this ribosomal RNA (492 nucleotides) under uncultured bacterium. RNAcentral describes it as "partial 16S ribosomal RNA". It matches the Rfam family "Bacterial small subunit ribosomal RNA", at positions 30 to 523 of the family's 1533-position model. The record is from RNAcentral.